UCCGCACGGCGGGCAUUUACUCCCCCGGCUUCGAAUUUUCCGCCCUGGGAAGGUAGUCACAGAACAUGGCUUCGUUUCUUUGCUCCCUGUGAACCUGGGAAGAAGGAGAAGGCAGGAAUGCAGUUUGGGGGAACAGUGAAAAAGGAAGGGAGUUUGGGAAAGAUCUGCGGUCAUUCUUUUUCUGAUAUGCCAUAUGCUGAGGGAAAAAUAUUUUCUGCUUUUAAAGCUGAAUACUUCUCUUGUGCCCUGAGUGUGAUGUGCUCUUUAUAAAGCUCAGUAUGCUGUGCCGACAUCUACUUCAUAACGCACAGAAGUAGCACUUUGGGAAAUAGUUUGAAGGGAAAGCUGCUUAGGAUUAGCGUCUUUCUUUUGAGGAGGAGAUGCUGUUGGAGAUCAGUGCGGGGCAUAAAAGCAGUGACAUUAAAAAAAAAAAUCAUCCUUCCAAUUGGUGUAGAGGUAAUUUGGCCAUUUUCCAGGAGUGAGGGAAGCACAGAUAGGGAAGGUAGAGCUGGGCUGAAUGUGACUGGGCACUUGUGUCUGUUGGCUGCCAGAUGUUCAUAUUAGAAUCUCAUUCUCCCACACUGGGAGCAGGGCCUCAUCUUUGACGGUUCCAUUCAAAGGAAUGCCUUUAGGAUAUUUGAAGAUGCACCUAAUGCGUGUUUAUGAUGAUAAGUCCUUAGAGAAUUCCUGAGAAAGGGUGGUGGAGGAUUUGUCAUUCUUGCCUGUUGGCUAGAAGGGAUAGUUGCACUCUCUUGAGAUAGAAUUGCAAGGCAGUUGGAGUUGUCUGAAGCACAUGGAUUUUUGCUGCUGAAAAACCUGCAAAGGUUUGAUCUAGUCCCCUAGAGCAGAUAUUUGGAUAGAAUUGUUGUAAAUCAGGUUUAAGUAAUAAAGGAGAUUUUUCUAGCACAGAAAGCAAUGUGCCACGGGACUUGAAUACCAAAUACUUGGGUACAGAGUUGUAUAUGAGAGCAAAAGAAGAAAUGAGAGCCCAGUAUGGCCUGGUAGAAAGAAAUAGUUAGAAUUAUGUAAUUCCAGUUUAUUGUGAUUUGGGCUACUUAAGCCAUCUGAAGCCAUCAUGUGCUGUGGAAAAGGAAAAAAUUGAAAUAUGUCAUUCCAUCAUCUGUGACUUUCGUCAUUGCUGAAGAUUUCCUGAGGACUUGGAAGUAUUCUAUUUAUCAAAUUCAGCUCCCUCAUCAGACUUCAUAUUUAGCACAUAUUGAUUAUUCACGACCAAAUCAAUGUAAGUAUUGAUGAAGCAGGUAAGGUGAUAAUUUUACAAUUCCAUGUUUAUCAGUCAUCAACCAGCCCAAUGCAAGUGUCUUUUCCUCUCCAUCUGUCUCCAUUGGAGGCUUGUGAUUCUUAUUCUGGUCAGUGAAAUUU
Long non-coding RNA from Ochotona curzoniae (black-lipped pika), 1380 nucleotides. RefSeq lists it as uncharacterized. The record is from RefSeq and is a predicted model, not a curated record. NCBI's taxonomy places the organism in Eukaryota, Metazoa, Chordata, Mammalia, Lagomorpha, Ochotonidae. The transcript has 3 exons.